UACGUAGGGGGCAAGCGUUGUCCGGAAUCAUUGGGCGUAAAGCGCGUGUAGGCGGUUCGGUAAGUCUGCUGUGAAAGUCCAGGGCUCAACCCUGGGAUGCCGGUGGAUACUGUCGGACUAGAGUACGGAAGAGGCGAGUGGAAUUCCAGGUGUAGCGGUGAAAUGCGUAGAUAUCUGGAGGAACACCGGUGGCGAAGGCGGCAUCCUGGACCGGCAUUGACGCUGAGGCGCGAAAGCUAGGGGAGCAAACGGG
Molecule: ribosomal RNA, 253 nt
Filed under: uncultured bacterium
Lineage: Bacteria
Description: partial 16S ribosomal RNA
Rfam family: Bacterial small subunit ribosomal RNA
Source: RNAcentral